UACGUAGGGGGCAAGCGUUGUCCGGAUUUACUGGGCGUAAAGAGCGUGUAGGCGGCCAAGCAGGUCCGUUGUGAAAACUGGAGGCUUAACCUCCAGACGUCGACGGAAACCGCGUGGCUAGAGUCCGGAAGAGGAGAGUGGAAUUCCGUGGUGUAGCGGUGAAAUGCGCAGAUAUCAGGAAGAACACCCGUGGCUAAGGCGGCUCUCUAGUACGGUACUGACGCUGAGACGCGAAAGCGUGGGGAGCAAACAGG
This 254-nucleotide ribosomal RNA is filed under the name uncultured bacterium. RNAcentral's name for it is "partial 16S ribosomal RNA". It matches the Rfam family "Bacterial small subunit ribosomal RNA", at positions 524 to 776 of the family's 1533-position model. The record is from RNAcentral.